ACGAGUUCAGAAUAAAUCUAAAUAAAUAGAAGAACCCCAAAAUCUAGAGUUUCAGAGGAACCCAGAUGAUGAGAAAGGCUUGGAUAGUCGUUGAUCUAAGCAGGAGGAGUCGAGAUCAGGCUUGAACAACCAUGGAUUUCCGGACCAAGGCCGGAGAUGGCCGUAGAAAUUGAAUCAAAUCAAGGUCUGGAUCAAGCUUCUUCGUAGUCAGGCCUCGAAAGUUAGUAACCAAGCGCGUUAGAUCCAUAGAAGACUAGUAGGUGGGGAGACCACCAUGGAUUCAGGCAAGGAGGUGGCCGGAGAAGGCGAGUGAAGCUCAUCUGAGCGGAGGGGAAGGGGGAAUGUUCUAGAGAGAACCAGAGAUAGAGAGAUAGAGAUGAGAGUCG
Molecule: long non-coding RNA, 386 nt
Filed under: Nicotiana benthamiana
Lineage: Eukaryota; Viridiplantae; Streptophyta; Magnoliopsida; Solanales; Solanaceae
Description: long non-coding RNA (NBEN_LNC026606)
Source: RNAcentral